UUAGAGUUUGAUCAUGGCUCAGGACGAACGCUGGCGGUGCGCCUUAUGCAUGCAAGUCGAGCGAAGCUUUUCAGUAGUUUACUACAGAAAAUGACUGAGCGGCGAACGGGUGAGUAACGCGUGAGCAAUCUACCUUAGUUACAGGGAUAGCCCGAGGAAACUCGGAUUAAUACCUGAUAUUCUUUAUUUCUCGCAUGAGAAUAAAAGGAAAGGUCAGCCGAACUAAGAUGAGCUCGCGUUCUAUCUGCUAGUUGGUGAGGUAAAAGCUUACCAAGGCUACGACGGAUAGCUGGUCUGAGAGGACGAUCAGCCACACUGGGACUGAGACACGGCCCAGACUCCUACGGGAGGCUGCAGCAGGGAAUAUUGUGCAAUGAACGAAAGUUUGACACAGCGACACCGCGUGUGGGAUGACGGAUCUAGGUUUGUAAACCACUUUCAGGAGGGAAGAAAAUGACGGUACCUCCACAAGAAGCCCCGGCCAACUACGUGCCAGCAGCCGCGGUAAUACGUAGGGGGCGAGCGUUGUCCGGAUUUAUUGGGCGUAAAGAGCUCGUAGGCGGUUCAACAAGUCGGUCGUGAAAGUUCAGGGCUCAACCCUGAAAUGUCGAUCGAUACUGUUGUGACUAGGAUACGGUAGAGGUGAGUGGAAUUCCGAGUGUAGCGGUGAAAUGCGUAGAUAUUCGGAGGAACACCAAUUGCGAAGGCAGCUCACUGGGCCGCUAUCGACGCUGAGGAGCGAAAGCUAGGGGAGCAAACAGGAUUAGAUACCCUGGUAGUCCUAGCUGUAAACGAUGGAUACUAGAUGUAGGAACUGGAUUGACGGUUUCUGUAUCGCAGCUAACGCGUUAA
RNAcentral lists this ribosomal RNA (852 nucleotides) under uncultured Actinomycetes bacterium. RNAcentral's name for it is "bacterial SSU rRNA". It matches the Rfam family "Bacterial small subunit ribosomal RNA", at positions 1 to 863 of the family's 1533-position model. Lineage: Bacteria; Bacillati; Actinomycetota; Actinomycetes. The record is from RNAcentral.